UCCUGGAUGGCUCAGACGGUAAAGAAUCUGCCUGCAAUGCAGGAGACCCAGGUUCGAUCCCUGGGUUGUGAA
RNAcentral lists this transfer RNA (72 nucleotides) under Bos taurus (domestic cattle). It matches the Rfam family "tRNA". From Rfam's summary of the family: Transfer RNA (tRNA) molecules are approximately 80 nucleotides in length. Their secondary structure includes four short double-helical elements and three loops (D, anti-codon, and T loops). Lineage: Eukaryota; Metazoa; Chordata; Mammalia; Artiodactyla; Bovidae. The record is from Rfam by way of RNAcentral. RNAcentral also lists the same sequence under 4 other names.